AUGCGGCUCUUCGACGGGGUCUACUCCUCGACGACCGACCUCUCCUGCAUCAACCGGGCGCACAUUGUGCUGUUGCCCAAAUCGGACGGUGUUCUUGUUCCCGGAGGUUUCCGGCCGGUCUCCCUUCAGAACUGUGACGUCAACCUGGUUUGCAAAGCCCUGACCACCAGACUGCAGCAACAAAUUCCGGAAGUGAUUGACUCCGACCAGUCCGGCUUUAUCAAAGGGCGAACCAUCUCCGAGAACUUCGUCUAUGCUGCGGAGAUUGUGCAGUGCUGUGAGGCGAGGAAAGCACCCUCUCUAGUUCUAAAGCUCGACUUCGCGAAGGCUUUUGACUCCAUCAGCUGGAAGAGCCUUCGGCGGAUCAUGGAAGUGCGGGGGUUCCCCGCGCGCUGGUGUGACUGGAUGGACGCCAUCUUCCGCUCCUCCAUGUCCGCGGUCCUCCUCAACGGGGUGCCCGGGCGCUAGAUCACGUGCAAGAAGGGGCUGCGGCAAGGCGACCUGACACUAGUAGAAAAAGAGGCUUCCAUACGCCCCAUUAGUCCCCAAAACAAUCGAACCGUGACAAAAGGGGCCUUUAGUCGCGGUUCGGAAGGAGACCCGCGACCAACUAUCUGGGCCCAGCGCGCUCGGUCGACAGCUGGCGGACGGGAGGGGCUUUAG
This 663-nucleotide ribosomal RNA is filed under the name Triticum aestivum (bread wheat). RNAcentral describes it as "partial small subunit ribosomal RNA". The record is from RNAcentral. Lineage: Eukaryota; Viridiplantae; Streptophyta; Magnoliopsida; Poales; Poaceae.